CGGAUUGUAGUCUGCAACUCGACUACAUGAAGCUGGAAUCGCUGUAAUCGCGAAUCAGCAUGUCGCGGUGAAUACGUUCCCGGGUCUUGUACACACCGCCCGUCACACCAUGGGAGUCGGGAAUGCCCGAAGCCGGUGACCCAACCUUUCGGAGGGAGCCGUCGAAGGCAGAUUCGAUAACUGGGGUGAAGUCGUAACAAGGUAUC
RNAcentral lists this ribosomal RNA (206 nucleotides) under uncultured bacterium. RNAcentral describes it as "partial 16S ribosomal RNA". It matches the Rfam family "Bacterial small subunit ribosomal RNA", at positions 1294 to 1500 of the family's 1533-position model. The record is from RNAcentral.